RNAcentral lists this long non-coding RNA (556 nucleotides) under Amphimedon queenslandica. Its description in RNAcentral is "uncharacterized LOC109583564, transcript variant X1". Lineage: Eukaryota; Metazoa; Porifera; Demospongiae; Haplosclerida; Niphatidae. The record is from RNAcentral.
AACGGUCCAGCAUCGACGACCAUCACUGCUGAAUCGAGGCUGUUGCUCUGGCCUGGACCAGUAUCUAUUUCAGUCCCGAUGUAGUCAUAGCUGAUACAGUAAUGUCUGUUCGUCAGCACUGGUCCAGGCUGUAUAUCAGUACUGGAUCAGAUCGAUGCUUUUCAAGAUGGCAGCCCCGCGUGGACUAUCUCAGUGACAUGUUUUGUUAAAGCAAAUCAUCUUAAUCUGACUAUUUAAGAGGAAUCUUGUUGGCUGUAUACACUAGGGCUAAAUCACUGGAUGUUAUUAUUGAGCCAAGCAUUGAAACAGAGCCAGAAGACCUUUCUGCAAUAAUCAUGACACUAGUGAAGACAAUGAGAAAUUAGGCGGUGAAUGUAUUAGUGAUCAUGAUGAUGUAGAUAUUGUACUGAGAGACUUAUGAAUGAUAGUCACAAGUGUGAAUUUUUGAUGCGGAAGAUUAUUCUGGAAAUAUUAGUAUAGCCACUAGUAUACAUUCUAUAGUUACCUUAUCUCACUAAGUUUCAAGACAAGAAUAUCUUAGCUCUUGUUAAGGUCA